UUGACCUCGGAUCAGGUAGGGAUACCCGCUGAACUUAAGCAUAUCAAUAAGCGGAGGAAAAGAAACCAACAGGGAUUGCCCUAGUAACGGCGAGUGAAGCGGCAACAGCUCAAAUUUGAAAUCUGGCGUCUUUGGCGUCCGAGUUGUAAUUUGCAGAGGGCGCUUUGGCAUUGGCAGCGGUCCAAGUUCCUUGGAACAGGACGUCACAGAGGGUGAGAAUCCCGUACGUGGUCGCUAGCCUUUACCGUGUAAAGCCCCUUCGACGAGUCGAGUUGUUUGGGAAUGCAGCUCUAAAUGGGAGGUAAAUUUCUUCUAAAGCUAAAUACUGGCCAGAGACCGAUAGCGCACAAGUAGAGUGAUCGAAAGAUGAAAAGCACUUUGGAAAGAGAGUUAAAAAGCACGUGAAAUUGUUGAAAGGGAAGCGCUUGCAGCCAGACUUGCCUGUAGUUGCUCAUCCGGGUUUCUACCCGGUGCACUCUUCUAUGGGCAGGCCAGCAUCAGUUUGGGCGGUUGGAUAAAGGUCUCUGUCAUGUACCUCUCUUCGGGGAGAACUUAUAGGGGAGACGACAUGCAACCAGCCUGGACUGAGGUUCC
This 594-nucleotide ribosomal RNA is filed under the name Didymella maydis. RNAcentral describes it as "eukaryotic LSU rRNA". It matches the Rfam family "Eukaryotic large subunit ribosomal RNA", at positions 1 to 598 of the family's 3401-position model. Lineage: Eukaryota; Fungi; Ascomycota; Dothideomycetes; Pleosporales; Didymellaceae. The record is from RNAcentral.